Molecule: non-coding RNA, 275 nt
Organism: Pelobates cultripes (western spadefoot toad)
Lineage: Eukaryota; Metazoa; Chordata; Amphibia; Anura; Pelobatidae
Source: the annotation of a GenBank genome assembly
AAAGGGUAUCACUUGUAAAUAGUGUUUAAAAGACUUAUCUGAGUGUUAUUAGGAAAGAAUGGUAUAGCUUGAAUUUAGACACGUAUGAAGUUAUGAACCGUGGUGAACAUUAUGUUUAUUACAGAAAAAUACUUUAAAUGGUUUAACAAGGUAGGAAAACACAGGGCUGGUAGUUAACCAUAUAAUGUAACCGCAAACUCAUAUGAAGGAAUAAAUAAUAGUAGGACUGUGAUUAGAACUUAUGCAAGCUUAGCUUAAAAGAAUAGAAAUAACCG